GGAAGAAUUAUUAAGAGCAAUUUAAGAGACUUGAAUCAAGUAAAAAGGAGAUGACAUGAUGGUUUUUAUUGAAUUUUUAAGGUUGAGAUUUUGCUAGACAACUCAAAAGGGAAACGGAUAGCAUUGAAAUGAUCCCAUUAGCAACCACUGUAUUGAUGUAACAGGCUUAACAAAUUUCAUUAUUUCAUGCCGUUCUACAUGCUUUAGAUGGCCUAUCAUAGAAACUUCAAUAGAAACUUUUAAAACUUCUUAUUAUCCACAGC
RNAcentral lists this unclassified non-coding RNA (263 nucleotides) under Hevea brasiliensis (rubber tree). The record is from RNAcentral. Lineage: Eukaryota; Viridiplantae; Streptophyta; Magnoliopsida; Malpighiales; Euphorbiaceae.